Galeopterus variegatus (Sunda flying lemur) is the source of this 426-nucleotide non-coding RNA. NCBI's taxonomy places the organism in Eukaryota, Metazoa, Chordata, Mammalia, Dermoptera, Cynocephalidae. The record is from the annotation of a RefSeq genome assembly.
AUGAGGUUGGUGACAGGAAUUACUGUCCUCCUAACUUUGGGUAUUGUGGGUGAUGCUAAGACUACACAGCCUAAUUCAAUGGAGAGUACUGAAGAAGAACCUGUACACCUGCCUUGUAACCACUCCACAAUCAGUGGAAGUGAAUACAUAUACUGGUAUCGACAGACUCCCCACCAGGGUCCGGAGUAUGUGAUUCAUGGUCUAAAAACCAAUGUCACCAACAGACUGGCCUCUCUAGCCAUCCCUGCUGACAGAAAGUCCAGUACCUUGAUCCUGCCCCACGUCACCCUGAGAGACACUGCUGUGUACUACUGCAUCGUGAGAGACACACACUGGGACAGAUGGAGCUGCACCUGCACAAUAUCUUCUGGGAGGGUGGGGGAAGGGAAGCAGCAGCCAUUUAGAGAGGCCACUGCACAGGAAUGA